Molecule: long non-coding RNA, 1644 nt
Filed under: Nicotiana benthamiana
Lineage: Eukaryota; Viridiplantae; Streptophyta; Magnoliopsida; Solanales; Solanaceae
Description: long non-coding RNA (NBEN_LNC022265)
Source: RNAcentral
ACCUAUUAGUGAAAGGGAGCUAUAUAUCCAGGUUCUUGUAGAAGCUGGAGAUGAGUCUGGGCAGAGGGGAGCAUAAGGGAUCCCUGUUGCCUGUAAAGUAUUCAAUUUCAGGUUCUUGUGUUGACUACAUUUGACAAUACAUAUGCUCAUGAUGUAAGAAGAAAACUGGGAGUCAUCAAUUUGACAACAGGUAUCGGAAAACCUACAGCACUGUGAUUGGCAGUUGCAGUUGGAUGAUGCCCAGUUGUUAUAAGUUAGAAUUGGGAGUUUGGUGACCGAUUUGUAUUCUUGGAGGAAAGGGUAAGGGUGCUCAGGGAAUUGGUGGGUAUGGGGUGGUGUUACAGUUCCCUAUUGCAGUAGUGGUUUAUGCAGAAGUUGUAGCUGCAACUUUUGCUUUUCUGAUGAAUGAGCAGGGUAGUUGAUUAAACAUCUGAGUGGUAGUGUUGUUGUUGUGGUGGACCUUGACUAUAAGAUGAUCUAUCUCCAAGAGAAUGAGCACCAUAGGUGCUAAUACCACUCCUGGAGGAUAUCUCAAAUGACAUAAAAGGGAGAGUGAGGUUGAACCUGCAAAACAAAAAACAGAGUUAGAGAAAAAGUAGGCAUUUCUACACAACUCUGGUGUACUAUCUAUUGUGAGAGGUUUAGUGGUUGUGGUACAAUAAUGUUAUAGGUUGUAGUGGUUGAUUCCUAGGUUCUUGUGGUUUCAACGGAUUCUGAAGCAGAGGAGAAAAGGAGGGAGUGCAAAGGUUUCCCAUUUUUGAGUUGUGAAUUACAUUUCCUUCAUACUGCCCUUUACUUCUAGGAAGGGGGUUCUGCUUUGGGGUCAUGUGUUUUAUGGUCUCCUUGGGUGUAUGGUAGGGAAAAGGUGUGGUUUAUAAGGUUGUGUGUAUGUGUGCAAAGUGUUGCUCUAAGCCAGAAGUCUCCACUUGACAUAGGGAGCAUAUGGAUUUUAACGAGUUCAAACGGAAGAAAGAUCCUGGGGCUAUGCAUUUCUGCAUAAUAGGUGUUUCCACUUCCUCUAUAAUCUACAUCUAUUCUUUGUUGCAGUUCCAGGAGAAUGAACCCAAUGGUUGAUACCACACCCUAAAAUAGUAUCAAAGUAAUAGGUAGUUUAUAAGAGAGAUUAACCUGCAAAAGAACAAACAAAGUUAAUAGAACUAUUUUGAUCAUCCAUAGUGGACUAAGGUUGUUGCUGAUAUGGAUGCCAUAAUCCUUGUCUUUGAACUUUUGGGAAAACAAAUCUGUUCCCUUUUUCCAUUCCUAUGUUAACCACAUCCAUGAGAAGAAGUAGAAGGCAUGUGUGAGGGGAUUUUAAUUUUGGUUGUUGUUUUGUGUCUGAAGGCAGGGGUACCAAUCUGAUCCAUGUAGACUUGACCUUUGAUGUGAGUGGGCAAUUUAGAAAUGGUAUUGUAGUGAGUAGUGGUGAGCAUCUUACGACUUAGCUUAGAUAGGGAUUCAGAAGGACAGUUUGCCUCCCUAUAGAUGUGCUUAAAGAUGAUGGCUUCACAUUGUUGACAGGUCUGCUUGACUCUCUACAUCUGCAUGUGUAAGGACCAGGGUGGGGUAGCUUCAUUUGAUAACCAGUGGAUUAAGAGGGCUGAGUUUGCUUCUAAUUGAAUCUUAGUGAAUCCACUAGUAAUGCAC